CCUGCCGCCACCCCAACUCACCCACUCCCCCUCCCCUCGGUCCCCCAGAUCCAUCCUCGCGCUUGGUCGCGCCACCCUCCUUCCCGAGCCGCGCCUUCAUCCUCUCCUCUCCCGCAACCCCAACCCGGCCCCGCCGCCGAUCUCCACUCCCCCAACCUCAGCCCAGCCCCGCUGGCGACCUCCUCCCCCACUCCUCGACUGCCCGGUGACAUCCUCUACUUCAUACCCGCCGGCGACCUCCGCCUUCGACUCCACCCUCUCCUUCUCUCCACGCUGAAACCCUAGGUCGAUGCCAUGGCCACAUCGCAGGUGGCGCGCGCGGGAGGAGCCCAUCCAUGGCGACACCGAUCGUCUGGUCAAGGAGGACGCCAUGGACAAGCCCGAUGUCAUGGCGACCUCGCACGCAGCACAGGAGGAAGCCAGACAUGGCGACAACCGACAGCCUUUCAGAUCUCAUCGACUUCCGCCCACGAUGGAGGACUGGGGUGUGAUUUUUGCAGGCCUUGGACAAGAUCAGGUUCGAGAACCUCACGGACAAGAGUAAGCUCGAUGCGCAUCCUGAGCUCUUCAUCCACAUCAUCCCCGACAAGGCGACCACCACGCUCACGAUCGUCGACGCGGCAUUGGCAUGACCAAGUCGGACCUCGUCAACAACCUCGGGACCAUCGCGCAUAAGCUAAACUCUGUUAUUUAUGUCUGCCCUGCAUAAGCUAAACUAUGUUAGUUCCAUGAUCAACUUGUAUAUGCAGUCCAAGCCUUCUAAAAUGAUUGCCUUUAUUGUCCAUGUCUUGAUGUGAUUUGUUCUUAAAAUGGUUUGCUAGAUAGAUCCAUGCCUUGUAUGUUCUGUGUUCUUUACUAUAUUGUUUUGGCCUAGGGCAAUUAAACAUUGUAUCUGUUUUUAGUGUGAUAUGCAACUCUUCAAAAAACGAAAUUGUAUUAUGGAAUUGCUCAUCUGCAUGGAAUUUCUAUGUAUUCUAGUAGAUUAUUUUUUAUACUAUAUUGCUGUAUUCCCGAUCUGCGUGGGAGCCGAUGCUCGGUUUGUUCUUGUUUCUGUUUCAGUACUAGUACAAUGUAAUGAUUUCGUUCUUUCAUGAAGUAUUUUGCACUGUUUUUAUCUGUCGAGCAAUUUAGAAGACCUGUAGAGCAUUUAACUAGACAGUUGAAUUUGCAUGUGCAACUAUGCUUGCUUAGAGCAGCCCUUGACUGGUUACAUUAUUGCGAUGGCCUGUGCUGUUCUUAGUUGUGCUACAGUAUGUGGUCUGUGUUGUUUGCACUUGUUAGCCAAAUCAUUGCACACGCAGUGUCAAUGCGAUGUUGCGGGUUUGUGACCUAGGAUUUCAGCCAAGUUCCUGUUUGUACAAAGUAUCUGCUACAUGUUGUUUUCAUCUUGAUAGCUAGCAGCCUAGCACCACUUUGAUUGUGAAAUCUUUGUAUGCUGUAAAACUAAUUGGGUCAGUCUUGAAUUUGUUGUGAAUUGUAAGAUGCUUCAAGUAAAUGUUUUUUUGCCUUCUCGCGUGUAGGCGGUCAGGCGGGACAACAAGUAGAGGUUCAGUCUGUUGCUCAUUUGGGCUAACCAGCGGCACACUGUGGCAGUAUGUUUUCUGCACGAACUCCCCUGCACUAAUGUAUUCUGUUUUUACAAGGAAGAUUUAAGAUGUGUUUAUACUCUUCAUGAUCAUCUGCCAUGUAGUAAUCGUUAUUUUUUGUAACUUCUAAAAGCAUUGUACUAGAUGAAUUUGUGUUAUCAUUCUAUAAAGAACUUACUUUUUAUUGAAUGGUCUCUUCAUAAUAUAUUGGCUCCAGUUUUCUGAUUCUUCUUUGCUGAUUCAUG
Aegilops tauschii subsp. strangulata is the source of this 1831-nucleotide long non-coding RNA. RefSeq lists it as uncharacterized. NCBI's taxonomy places the organism in Eukaryota, Viridiplantae, Streptophyta, Magnoliopsida, Poales, Poaceae. The record is from RefSeq and is a predicted model, not a curated record.